This 253-nucleotide ribosomal RNA is filed under the name uncultured bacterium. Its description in RNAcentral is "partial 16S ribosomal RNA". It matches the Rfam family "Bacterial small subunit ribosomal RNA", at positions 524 to 776 of the family's 1533-position model. The record is from RNAcentral.
UACGAAGGGGGCUAGCGUUGCUCGGAAUUACUGGGCGUAAAGCGCACGUAGGCGGUCUUUUAAGUCGGGGGUGAAAUCCUGGAGCUCAACUCCAGAACUGCCUUCGAUACUGGAAGACUUGAGUCCGGGAGAGGUGAGUGGAACUGCGAGUGUAGAGGUGAAAUUCGUAGAUAUUCGCAAGAACACCAGUGGCGAAGGCGACUUUCUGGCCUGUUCUUGACGCUGAGGCGCGAAAGCUAGGGGAGCAAACGGG